UACGUAGGGUGCAAGCGUUGUCCGGAAUUAUUGGGCGUAAAGAGCUUGUAGGCGGUUUGUCGCGUCUGCUGUGAAAUUUCGGGGCUCAACCCCGAACUUGCAGUGGGUACGGGCAGACUAGAGUGUGGUAGGGGAGACUGGAAUUCCUGGUGUAGCGGUGAAAUGCGCAGAUAUCAGGAGGAACACCGAUGGCGAAGGCAGGUCUCUGGGCCAUAACUGACGCUGAGGCGCGAAAGCUAGGGGAGCGAACAGG
RNAcentral lists this ribosomal RNA (253 nucleotides) under uncultured bacterium. RNAcentral describes it as "partial 16S ribosomal RNA". It matches the Rfam family "Bacterial small subunit ribosomal RNA", at positions 524 to 776 of the family's 1533-position model. The record is from RNAcentral.